This 497-nucleotide ribosomal RNA is filed under the name uncultured bacterium. RNAcentral describes it as "partial 16S ribosomal RNA". It matches the Rfam family "Bacterial small subunit ribosomal RNA", at positions 28 to 507 of the family's 1533-position model. The record is from RNAcentral.
GAUGAACGCUGGCGGCGUGCCUAAUACAUGCAAGUCGAGCGAACAGACGAGGAGCUUGCUCCGCUGACGUUAGCGGCGGGCGGGUGAGUAACACGUGGAUAACCUACCUAUAAGACUGGGAUAACUUCGGGAAACCGGAGCUAAUACCGGAUAAUAUAUUGAACCGCAUGGUUCAAUAGUGAAAGACGGUUUUGCUGUCACUUAUAGAUGGAUCCGCGCCGCAUUAGCUAGUUGGUAAGGUAACGGCUUACCAAGGCAACGAUGCGUAGCCGACCUGAGAGGGUGAUAGGCCACACUGGAACUGAGACACGGUCCAGACUACUACGGGAGGCAGCAGUAGGGAAUCUUACGCAAUGGGCGAAAGCCUGACGGAGCAACGCCGCGUGAGUGAUGAAGGUCUUCGGAUCGUAAAACUCUGUUAUUAGGGAAGAACAAAUGUGUAAGUAACUAUGCACGUCUUGACGGUACCUAAUCAGAAAGCCACGGCUAACUACGUG